This 468-nucleotide ribosomal RNA is filed under the name uncultured bacterium. RNAcentral describes it as "partial 16S ribosomal RNA". It matches the Rfam family "Bacterial small subunit ribosomal RNA", at positions 28 to 507 of the family's 1533-position model. The record is from RNAcentral.
GACGAACGCUGGCGGCGUGCUUAACACAUGCAAGUCGAACGGAAAGGCCCUGCUUUUGUGGGGUGCUCGAGUGGCGAACGGGUGAGUAACACGUGAGUAACCUGCCCUUGACCUUGGGAUAACUUCAGGAAACUGGGGCUAAUACAGGAUAGGAGCUCCUGCUGCAUGGUGGGGGUUGGAAAGUUUCGGCGGUUGGGGAUGGACUCGCGGCUUAUCAGCUUGUUGGUGGGGUAGUGGCUUACCAAGGCUUUGACGGGUAGCCGGCCUGAGAGGGUGACCGGCCACCUGGGGACUGAGGUACGGCCCAGACGCCAACGGGAGGCAGCAGUGGGGAAUAUUGCACAAUGGGCGGAAGCGUGAUGCAGCAACGCCGCGGGCGGGAUGACGGCCUUCGGGUUGUAAACCGCUUUCGCCUGUGACGAAGCGUGAGUGACGGUAAUGGGUAAAGAAGCACCGGCUAACUACGUG